GGUCAAGAAGAGAAGCGCAAACGGUGGAUGCCUUGGCAGUAAGAGGCGAAGAAGGACGUGGAAUCCUGCGAAAAGCUAUGGGGAGCUGGAAACGAGCGUUGAGCCAUAGAUGUCCGAAUGGGGGAACCCGGCUGCAGUAAUGCGGUCAUUUGCAUUUGAAUACAUAGGAUGCAAAGGCGAACUCGGGGAACUGAAACAUCUAAGUACCCGAAGGAAAAGAAAUCAAGAGAGAUUCUCCAAGUAGCGGCGAGCGAACGGGGAGGAGCCUGGCGUGAUUUAUUAUUGAAUUGAGUAGAACAACUUGGGAAGGUUGGCCAUAGAGGGUGAAAGCCCCGUAUACGAAGGUUUGAUGAGGAACUAGGCACGCGAACAAGUAGGCCGGGACACGUGAAAUCCUGGUUGAAGAUGGGUGGACCAUCAUCCAAGGCUAAAUACUACUUACUGACCGAUAGUGAACCAGUACCGUGAGGGAAAGGUGAAAAGAACCCCGGAGAGGGGAGUGAAAUAGAAUCUGAAACCGUUUGCGUACAAGCAGUGGGAGCAUGGUUUAGGCUGUGUGACUGCGUACCUUUUGUAUAAUGGGUCAGCGAGUUACUUUCAGUGGCGAGGUUAACUGCAUAAGGGAGCCGUAGAGAAAUCGAGUCUGAAUAGGGCGAUAGUCGCUGGGAGUAGACCCGAAACCGGGCGAUCUAGCCAUGUGCAGGAUGAAGGUUGGGUAACACCAACUGGAGGUCCGAACCGGGUAAUGUUGAAAAAUUAUCGGAUGACGUGUGGCUAGGAGUGAAAGGCUAAUCAAGCCCGGAGAUAGCUGGUUCUCCCCGAAAGCUAUUUAGGUAGCGCCUCGUGAAUGAUUACUGGGGGUAGAGCACUGUUUCGGCUAGGGGGCUGUCAUGGCUUACCAAACCGAUGCAAACUCCGAAUACCGGCUAAUUGGAUCACGGGAGACACACGGCGGGUGCUAACGUCCGUCGUGGAGAGGGAAACAACCCAGACCGCCAGCUAAGGUCCCCAAGUACUAGUUAAGUGGGAAACGAUGUGGGAAGGCAUAGACAGCCAGGAGGUUGGCUUAGAAGCAGCCACCCUUUAAAGAAAGCGUAAUAGCUCACUGGUCGAGUCGGCCUGCGCGGAAGAUGUAACGGGGCUAAAACUAGUCACCGAAGCUGCGGAUGUGCGCGAAGGCGCACGUGGUAGGGGAGCGUUCUGUAGGCUGAUGAAGGUGCAUUGAGAGGUGUGCUGGAGGUAUCAGAAGUGCGAAUGCUGACAUGAGUAACGAUAAUGUGGGUGAAAAGCCCACACGCCGGAAGUCCCAGGUUUCCUGCACGACGUUAAUCGGAGCAGGGUGAGUCGGCCCCUAAGGCGAGGCUGAAGAGCGUAGUCGAUGGGAACCAGGUUAAUAUUCCUGGACUUUUUAUAAGUGGUGAAGUGGGGACGAAGAAGGCUAGGUGAGCCAGGCGUUGGUUGUCCUGGUACUUGCAUGUAGGGGGGAAGACUUGGCAAAUCCGGUUUUCCGAUACUCUGAGGUGCGAAGUGGUUCUGACCUUUUGGUACAGAGAAGUCAUUGAUGCCCGGCUUCCAGGAAAAGCUGCUAGCCAU
RNAcentral lists this ribosomal RNA (1593 nucleotides) under Legionella pneumophila. RNAcentral's name for it is "partial 23S ribosomal RNA". It matches the Rfam family "Bacterial large subunit ribosomal RNA", at positions 1 to 1628 of the family's 2925-position model. Lineage: Bacteria; Pseudomonadati; Pseudomonadota; Gammaproteobacteria; Legionellales; Legionellaceae. The record is from RNAcentral.